This 158-nucleotide ribosomal RNA is filed under the name Enterococcus faecium. RNAcentral describes it as "partial 16S ribosomal RNA". It matches the Rfam family "Bacterial small subunit ribosomal RNA", at positions 1385 to 1533 of the family's 1533-position model. Lineage: Bacteria; Bacillati; Bacillota; Bacilli; Lactobacillales; Enterococcaceae. The record is from RNAcentral.
ACACACCGCCCGUCACACCACGAGAGUUUGUAACACCCGAAGUCGGUGAGGUAACCUUUUUGGAGCCAGCCGCCUAAGGUGGGAUAGAUGAUUGGGGUGAAGUCGUAACAAGGUAGCCGUAUCGGAAGGUGCGGCUGGAUCACCUCCUUUCUAAGGAA